UUGUUUAUUAAUUAAGUCAACUUGCUUAUUUGAUGUUAACUUUAUUCGUUCUCACGGUCAGAUUCCCACGGUCCGUAUUUUACUUCCUGUGCUGACACAUUAAAGAUGGAGAUCGACAGCAACAACAUCAGCGGGAGCAGUGGAAACGAGUCAUAACUGCUUGGUCACCUGCCCGUCUAAUAAAUGGUCAAAGACUAUGGAAGCAAGCAAUAUUUUAAAGUUACUCUGUUGUCUCCUUUGUGUUGCUGAUCAUGACGUUACAGGAAUACCUUACCCAGGCGAUGAUGCUUCUGUGCCUGAACUAGUCCAAUACUAUCAUCAAUUAUGCUACACGUCCCUUCAAAUAUGUGGAUUUCUUUUGUUUGUUCACGGAACAUUCAUGAGUUGUUUCAUGUUAAAAAGACUUAAGAGAAGAUUAAAUAUCAGACGGCGUAACAACCAGUCG
Molecule: long non-coding RNA, 445 nt
Organism: Mytilus trossulus (common blue mussel)
Lineage: Eukaryota; Metazoa; Mollusca; Bivalvia; Mytilida; Mytilidae
Exons: 3
Source: RefSeq, a predicted model, not a curated record